GCUUGGGUAGCUUAGUGGUAGAGCAUUACACUUGUAAUGUAAAGGUCGCGAGUUCAAUUCUCGUCUCAAGCU
This 72-nucleotide transfer RNA is filed under the name bacterium. RNAcentral describes it as "tRNA-Thr". It matches the Rfam family "tRNA". From Rfam's summary of the family: Transfer RNA (tRNA) molecules are approximately 80 nucleotides in length. Their secondary structure includes four short double-helical elements and three loops (D, anti-codon, and T loops). The record is from RNAcentral.